UUUCGGGUGUUAGUGGCGGACGGGUGAGUAACGCGUGAGAAUCUGCCUUUAGGUUCGGGACAACCAUUGGAAACGAUGGCUAAUACCGGAUAUGCAGCGAUGUGAAAGAUAUAUUGCCUAAAGAUGAGCUCGCGUCUGAUUAGCUAGUUGGUGGGGUAAAGGCCUACCAAGGCGACGAUCAGUAACUGGUCUGAGAGGAUGAUCAGUCACACUGGAACUGAGACACGGUCCAGACUCCUACGGGAGGCAGCAGUGGGGAAUUUUCCGCAAUGGGCGAAAGCCUGACGGAGCAAUACCGCGUGAGGGAGGAAGGCUCUUGGGUUGUAAACCUCUUUUCUUAGGGAAGAACAAAAUGACGGUACCUAAGGAAUAAGCAUCGGCUAACUCCGUGCCAGCAGCCGCGGUAAUACGGAGGAUGCAAGCGUUAUCCGGAAUGAUUGGGCGUAAAGCGUCCGCAGGUGGUUUUGUAAGUCUAUUGUUAAAGCGUCUGGCUCAACCAGAUAUGGGCGGUAGAAACUACAAGACUAGAGUCCGUUCGGGGCAGAGGGAAUUCCUGGUGUAGCGGUGAAAUGCGUAGAGAUCAGGAAGAACACCGGUGGCGAAAGCGCUCUGCUAGGCCGGAACUGACACUGAGGGACGAAAGCUAGGGGAGCGAAUGGGAUUAGAUACCCCAGUAGUCCUAGCCGUAAACGAUGGAUACUAGGCGUGGCUUGUAUCGACCCGAGCCGUGCCGUAGCUAACGCGUUAAGUAUCCCGCCUGGGGAGUACGCACGCAAGUGUGAAACUCAAAGGAAUUGACGG
RNAcentral lists this ribosomal RNA (801 nucleotides) under uncultured bacterium. RNAcentral's name for it is "bacterial SSU rRNA". It matches the Rfam family "Bacterial small subunit ribosomal RNA", at positions 83 to 916 of the family's 1533-position model. The record is from RNAcentral.